RNAcentral lists this ribosomal RNA (224 nucleotides) under Blastocystis sp. Its description in RNAcentral is "partial small subunit ribosomal RNA". It matches the Rfam family "Eukaryotic small subunit ribosomal RNA", at positions 61 to 292 of the family's 1831-position model. The record is from RNAcentral. Lineage: Eukaryota; Bigyra; Opalinata; Blastocystidae.
AGGUCUAAAUAGUUUUAGUGUGUAACCGCGAACGGCCCAUUAUACCAGUUAUAGUUUAUUUGGAAUAGUUUCUAUAUGGAUACCCGUAGUAAUUCUAGGGCUAAUACAUGUGUUUUCUUUGGUGGGCAACCAUUAAAGAAGUACUUAUUAGACAUAAAACCAAUUUAAUGUUGUUGUGAGUAAUAAUAAUUGUUGACUUUAUCGCAUGCUUGUUAGUAGCGAUG